RNAcentral lists this unclassified non-coding RNA (470 nucleotides) under Hevea brasiliensis (rubber tree). Lineage: Eukaryota; Viridiplantae; Streptophyta; Magnoliopsida; Malpighiales; Euphorbiaceae. The record is from RNAcentral.
UGUGUGGUAUAGGUACAUUAAUAAAUUGGUCAUAACAAGUUUAAAUAAAUUAAAAUUAAACAGGCAAAAUGUUAACCUGAUAAAAUAAACAGGUUAUUAUGUGUUUAAUCAGGUUAAGCAGAUCAACCCUAUUAAACCUCUUUUUUAGCGUGUCCUAAACAGUAGAUGUUUAUGACCCAAACCCGUUUAUGCUAAACCCAAACUUACUUAACUUCAUACCGAGUCAAGCCGUGUAAAAGGAUCAUAUUAGGACCGGUAAUUUGUAAUAUGAGUCAUUUACAUGGCAUGACUUAAUACGAAAUUCAGUGAGUUUGGGUUUCAACAGUCUUUUUUUAGUGUGUCCUAAAUGGGUUGACCCGAUUAUGCUAAAUCUAAACUCACCUAACUUUGUAUUGAGCCAUAUCGUGUAAACGGGUUGUAUCACAAAUUGCUAGCCCUAAUACGACCCAUUUAUAUGGCACGACUUAACA